UGUCGUCAGCUCGUGUUGUGAAAUGUUGGGUUAAGUCCCGCAACGAGCGCAACCCUUAUCCUUUGUUGCCAGCACGUGAUGGUGGGAACUCAAAGGAGACUGCCGGUGAUAAACCGGAGGAAGGUGGGGAUGACGUCAAGUCAUCAUGGCCCUUACGAGUAGGGCUACACACGUGCUACAAUGGCAGAUACAAAGUGAAGCGAACUCGCGAGAGCAAGCGGACCACAUAAAGUCUGUCGUAGUCCGGAUUGGAGUCUGCAACUCGACUCCAUGAAGUCGGAAUCGCUAGUAAUCGUAGAUCAGAAUGCUACGGUGAAUACGUUCCCGGGCCUUGUACACACCGCCCGUCACACCAUGGGAGUGGGUUGCAAAAGAAGUAGGUAGCUUAACCUUCGGGAGGGCGCUUACCACUUUGUGAUUCAUGACUGGGGUGAAGUCGUAACAAGGUAACCGUAGGGGAACCU
RNAcentral lists this ribosomal RNA (464 nucleotides) under Yersinia enterocolitica. RNAcentral's name for it is "bacterial SSU rRNA". It matches the Rfam family "Bacterial small subunit ribosomal RNA", at positions 1050 to 1513 of the family's 1533-position model. Lineage: Bacteria; Pseudomonadati; Pseudomonadota; Gammaproteobacteria; Enterobacterales; Yersiniaceae. The record is from RNAcentral.